UACAGAGGGGGCAAGCGUUGUUCGGAAUUACUGGGCGUAAAGGGCGCGUAGGCGGCCUUCUAAGUCGAACGUGAAAUCCCCGGGCUCAACCCGGGAACUGCGUCCGAUACUGGAAGGCUUGAAUCCGGGAGAGGGAUGCGGAAUUCCAGGUGUAGCGGUGAAAUGCGUAGAUAUCUGGAGGAACACCGGUGGCGAAGGCGGCAUCCUGGACCGGCAUUGACGCUGAGGCGCGAAAGCCAGGGGAGCAUACGGG
Molecule: ribosomal RNA, 253 nt
Filed under: uncultured bacterium
Lineage: Bacteria
Description: partial 16S ribosomal RNA
Rfam family: Bacterial small subunit ribosomal RNA
Source: RNAcentral